RNAcentral lists this ribosomal RNA (479 nucleotides) under uncultured bacterium. Its description in RNAcentral is "bacterial SSU rRNA". It matches the Rfam family "Bacterial small subunit ribosomal RNA", at positions 47 to 518 of the family's 1533-position model. The record is from RNAcentral.
CCUAGUACAUGCAAGUCGAACGAGGCGUCUUCGGAGCCGAGUGGCGUACGGGUGAGUAACACGUUGGUAACCCUGCCCUCCAGACCGGAAUACCAGAGAGAAAUCUCUGCUAAUGCCGGAUGACGUCAUAUGGUCGCAAGACCACUUGACCAAAGGCGGCAACUGCCGCGCUGAAGGAUGGACCUGCGUCGCAUUAGCUAGUUGGCGGGAUAAUGGCCCACCAAGGCGAGGAUGCGUAGCCGAGCUGAGAGGCUAAACGGCCACAUUGGGACUGAGACACGGCCCAGACUCCUACGGGAGGCAGCAGUAGGGAGUAUUUGGCAAUGGGGGAAACCCUGACCGAGCAACGCCGCGUGUGUGAUGAAAAGGCCUUCGGGUCGUAAAACACUGUGAUUCUCUGGGAAACUCAUGGGGAGUGGAAAGCCUCAUGACUGACCGGACUAUUAGAAAGCAACUGCUAACUACGUGCCAGCCGCGGC